Long non-coding RNA from Folsomia candida, 723 nucleotides. RefSeq lists it as uncharacterized. Lineage: Eukaryota; Metazoa; Arthropoda; Collembola; Entomobryomorpha; Isotomidae. The record is from RefSeq and is a predicted model, not a curated record. The transcript has 2 exons.
UAAGCUAAGAAGCUCCAGUAAAUUCAGAGAUAACAAAUUAUACUCUGACUGCCCAUAAAUAAUAAGAUAUGAAACAACUCAUGGUCAUUUUGCUCUGCAAAAACAGUUUUGUGAUCAAAGUCUCAAAGUCGUAGCAUCAUUCAGACAAGAAUAUUCACCACUUGGUUAAACAAUCUCUCAAAACUUAUCCCAAAACUAUAUACAAUGGCUGGACAAACACAGUUUCUUAUUUUCGCCUUGGUCAUCCUCUCCAUGGGUUUGAUGUCCGCAGUCGACGCUGGAUAUGGGUGCAACGGUCCGUGGGACUACAACCACAAUUUAUGCUCCGUCCACUGCCUGUCGACCACCCUUUCCACCGGGGGCUGCCGUUGGUUCACUGGAUUUUUUAGGUGUCACUGCGACUAAUUUGCAAUUUUUGAGUGGUGUUGUUUCAUUUUUUAUGUAAAAAAAUUUAAAAAAUAUUAAAUUUUGAAAAUGUUAAAUUUUGUACCUAUGUACAUAGUAUCUUGAAAAUUUGUCUGUCAUAACUAAAAUUUGAACUCUACAGUCUAUUGCGUCUUAAAAUUAUUGCAAUCUGAUUUGUGUACCUGUUACAAAAUAAAGUUGAACGUUUCUCGAAUAUUUUAACUAAUUCCUUUUAUAGCGGAUAUUUGGAACCAAGUAAAAUUCCAUUUAUGUAAGUAAUUUUUAAAGCUAAUGAAAUUAAUAAAAAUUACACAAAUA